GACGAACGCUGGCGGCGUGCCUAAUACAUGCAAGUAGAACGCUGAAGGAGGAGCUUGCUUCUCUGGAUGAGUUGCGAACGGGUGAGUAACGCGUAGGUAACCUGCCUGGUAGCGGGGGAUAACUAUUGGAAACGAUAGCUAAUACCGCAUAAUAGUAGAUGUUGCAUGACAUUUGCUUAAAAGGUGCAAUUGCAUCACUACCAGAUGGACCUGCGUUGUAUUAGCUAGUUGGUGGGGUAACGGCUCACCAAAGUGACGAUACAUAGCCGACCUGAGAAGGUGAUCGGCCCCACUGGGACUGGGACACGGCCCAGACUCCUACGGGAGGCAGCAGUAGGGAAUCUUCGGCAAUGGACGGAAGUCUGACCGAGCAACGCCGCGUGAGUGAAGAAGGUUGUCGGAUCGUAAAGCUCUGUUGUAAGAGAAGAACGAGUGUGAGAGUGGAAAGUUCACACUGUGACGGUAUCUUACCAGAAAGGGACGGCUAACUACGUG
Molecule: ribosomal RNA, 495 nt
Filed under: uncultured bacterium
Lineage: Bacteria
Description: partial 16S ribosomal RNA
Rfam family: Bacterial small subunit ribosomal RNA
Source: RNAcentral